GACGGAGGCUCCGGGGUCAGAGGCGAAAGGCUUCCCAGCAUCCUCGUUGAUUGGCGAAGUGAUGUCGGCCAUCUUGGAUUGUAGCGGGGAAGAAAGAUUGAUGCGGUGACACGCGGUAUGUUUGGUGCUAACCGGAAGAAGUUUAUGGAGGAGGGGUAGAGAGCGACUACUCGGACGACUCCAGCCUCUACUACACCCAACAGUCCAUGUUCCCUCCACACCGCCCUGACAAAGACAUGCUGGCGUCUUCCUCUGCUCCUCAACGGGUCAACUGUCACAGCUCGGAGCCAGUUUAUAUGGCCCGCAGAGUAAGAUGAACACACACACAUCUGUUUCUGUCUCAUAAUCAGAGUCUUGCUCGAGCUUCCUUUAUGUUGUCUUUACUCAUACAAAAUCUAAAACAUGAUAAGCCUUCAGCUGCA
This is a non-coding RNA of Labrus bergylta (ballan wrasse), 422 nucleotides long. NCBI's taxonomy places the organism in Eukaryota, Metazoa, Chordata, Actinopteri, Labriformes, Labridae. The record is from RefSeq and is a predicted model, not a curated record.